AUCUACGGCCAUACCACCCUGAACACGCCCGAUCUCGUCUGAUCUUGGAAGCUAAGCAGGGUCGGGCCUGGUUAGUACUUGGAUGGGAGAUAUCACCUCACACCUGUCAGAAUGGUGAAAAUU
This is a ribosomal RNA of Mustela putorius furo (domestic ferret), 123 nucleotides long. Lineage: Eukaryota; Metazoa; Chordata; Mammalia; Carnivora; Mustelidae. The record is from Ensembl.